CAUACGGGCGGCAGCAGUGGGGAAUAUUGGACAAUGGGCGAAAGCCUGAUCCAGCCAUGCCGCGUGUGUGAAGAAGGCCUUCGGGUUGUAAAGCACUUUCAGUGGGGAAGAAAGCCUUGGGGCUAAUACCCUCGAGGAAGGACAUCACCCACAGAAGAAGCACCGGCUAACUCCGUGCCAGCAGCCGCGGUAAUACGGAGGGUGCGAGCGUUAAUCGGAAUUACUGGGCGUAAAGCGCGCGUAGGCGGUCUGAUAAGCCGGUUGUGAAAGCCCCGGGCUCAACCUGGGAACGGCAUCCGGAACUGUCAGGCUAGAGUGCAGGAGAGGAAGGUAGAAUUCCCGGUGUAGCGGUGAAAUGCGUAGAGAUCGGGAGGAAUACCAGUGGCGAAGGCGGCCUUCUGGACUGACACUGACGCUGAGGUGCGAAAGCGUGGGUAGCAAACAGGAUUAGAUACCCGAGUAGUC
This 465-nucleotide ribosomal RNA is filed under the name Vreelandella stevensii. RNAcentral's name for it is "partial 16S ribosomal RNA". It matches the Rfam family "Bacterial small subunit ribosomal RNA", at positions 338 to 795 of the family's 1533-position model. Lineage: Bacteria; Pseudomonadati; Pseudomonadota; Gammaproteobacteria; Oceanospirillales; Halomonadaceae. The record is from RNAcentral.